Molecule: ribosomal RNA, 544 nt
Filed under: uncultured Actinomycetes bacterium
Lineage: Bacteria; Bacillati; Actinomycetota; Actinomycetes
Description: bacterial SSU rRNA
Rfam family: Bacterial small subunit ribosomal RNA
Source: RNAcentral
UUGGCCUACGGGAGGCAGCAGUGGGGAAUAUUGCACAAUGGGCGCAAGCCUGAUGCAGCAACGCCGCGUGCGGGAUGACGGCCUUCGGGUUGUAAACCGCUUUCAGCAGGGACGAAGCUUUUUGUGACGGUACCUGCAGAAGAAGCACCGGCUAACUACGUGCCAGCAGCCGCGGUGAUACGUAGGGUGCGAGCGUUGUCCGGAUUUAUUGGGCGUAAAGGGCUCGUAGGCGGUUGAUCGCGUCGGAAGUGGAAACUUGAUGCUUAACGUUGAGCGUGCUUUCGAUACGGGUUGACUUGAGGAAGGUAGGGGAGAAUGGAAUUCCUGGUGGAGCGGUGGAAUGCGCAGAUAUCAGGAGGAACACCAGUGGCGAAGGCGGUUCUCUGGACCUUUCCUGACGCUGAGGAGCGAAAGCGUGGGGAGCGAACAGGCUUAGAUACCCUGGUAGUCCACGCUGUAAACGGUGGGUACUAGGUGUGGGGUCCAUUCCACGGAUUCUGUGCCGUAGCUAACAAAGUAAGUACCCCGCCUGGGGAGUACGGCC